This 347-nucleotide long non-coding RNA is filed under the name Citrus sinensis (sweet orange). Its description in RNAcentral is "long non-coding RNA (CSIN_LNC003627)". Lineage: Eukaryota; Viridiplantae; Streptophyta; Magnoliopsida; Sapindales; Rutaceae. The record is from RNAcentral.
CUCCACGGUUUUCUUGCAGAGAAGGAUAGGGAUGGAAAAUGAGUUCUGUCGGGUCAAUGUGGCGGCCGGUUCGACCGUUUCGACGACUAAUUUGUUGCCCAUUAUUGGUUCGUUGUCUUGGUUGUUGUUGUUGUUGUUGUUAUCAGGUGGCUGUGAGGUGACUUGGUUCUCGUCGACAUUGUUCCACAGGUUUGCGAGGAAUUCAUCCAUGUUCAUCGACCCGACGCUCUUGCCACUCUUGAGUUGGAUUUCAUCGAGCGUGAGCGAGAAGAUUGAGCCUUGCUUGUUCAGCGGGGAAGCCAGUUGUUCCUCGAGAGAUUUUUCGAUUCGUGAUUGUGAUUCUUGAU